CGGGAUUUCCGCAACUUGGUUGCAGACAGCAAAAAGGAAUAUACAAAAGAAGGAAACAGCACUAAAAUAAACCAAUCCUAUAAAUAGGUAAAGUAGGAGGCAUCAAUCUAAAAAUAGGGUUCCCUCUAGGCCCUUUAGACAAAGGUAAUACACAAGACAAGACAGAAGAAGGUUGCGCCAAAGCUGACUAUAGUAUAGCUAAAAUGAACAAAGUCCAAAGUGUAAGUGGUGCCAAAACAAAGUCUUUAGUUGGGCCUGAUGGGGCACCGAAGGCCUAUGUGGAGGAGUAUUCUCUAUACGGAUCACGUGAAGACGGCUUUCCAGGAUCCGUAUGUAAAGAGAGAAACAAAUAAUAGUGCAAAUACAUCUGAUAAAAGGGUUGGUAUGCAGGAAGAAGAGAUCUAUGGUAAUCCUACUCACGUUUAGUAGAGCUAAACUAGCUCUAGUG
Molecule: non-coding RNA, 448 nt
Organism: Pelobates cultripes (western spadefoot toad)
Lineage: Eukaryota; Metazoa; Chordata; Amphibia; Anura; Pelobatidae
Source: the annotation of a GenBank genome assembly